AUACGAAGGGGGCAAGCGUUGUUCGAAAUAACGGGGCGUAAAGCGCACGUAGGCGGAAUGUUAAGUUAGAGGUGAAAUCCCAGGGCUCAACCCUGGAACUGCCUUUAAUACUGGCAAUCUAGAGACCGAGAGAGGUGAGUGGAAUUCCGAGUGUAGAGGUGAAAUUCGUAGAUAUUCGGAGGAACACCAGCGGCGAAGGCGGCUCACUGGCUCGGUACUGACGCUGAGGUGCGAAAGCGUGGGGAGCAAACAGGAUUAGAAACCCUAGUAGUCC
This 274-nucleotide ribosomal RNA is filed under the name uncultured bacterium. RNAcentral describes it as "partial 16S ribosomal RNA". It matches the Rfam family "Bacterial small subunit ribosomal RNA", at positions 523 to 796 of the family's 1533-position model. The record is from RNAcentral.